GAUGAACGCUGGCGGCGUGCCUAAUACAUGCAAGUCGAGCGAACAGAUGAGGAGCUUGCUCCUCUGACGUUAGCGGCGGACGGGUGAGUAACACGUGGAUAACCUACCUAUAAGACUGGGAUAACUUCGGGAAACCGGAGCUAAUACCGGAUAAUAUAUUGAACCGCAUGGUUCAAUAGUGAAAGACGGUUUUGCUGUCACUUAUAGAUGGAUCCGCGCCGCAUUAGCUAGUUGGUAAGGUAACGGCUUACCAAGGCAACGAUGCGUAGCCGACCUGAGAGGGUGAUCGGCCACACUGGAACUGAGACACGGUCCAGACUCCUACGGGAGGCAGCAGUAGGGAAUCUUCCGCAAUGGGCGAGAGCCUGACGGAGCAACGCCGCGUGAGUGAUGAAGGUCUUCGGAUCGUAAAACUCUGUUAUUAGGGAAGAACAAAUGUGUAAGUAACUAUGCACGUCUUGACGGUACCUAAUCAGAAAGCCACGGCUAACUACGU
RNAcentral lists this ribosomal RNA (496 nucleotides) under uncultured bacterium. RNAcentral's name for it is "partial 16S ribosomal RNA". It matches the Rfam family "Bacterial small subunit ribosomal RNA", at positions 28 to 506 of the family's 1533-position model. The record is from RNAcentral.